GUGAUACAGCAUAUGAGCGCCCUUUCACGGCGGUAACACGGGUUCAAAUCCCGUCGGGGACGCCA
Molecule: transfer RNA, 65 nt
Filed under: Terriglobia bacterium
Lineage: Bacteria; Pseudomonadati; Acidobacteriota; Terriglobia
Also listed under: 2 other names
Description: tRNA-Glu
Source: RNAcentral